GACGUAGGGCGCGAGCGUUGUCCGGAUUCAUUGGGCGUAAAGGGCGCGUAGGCGGCACGGCAAGUCAGGAGUGAAAGGCCUGGGCUCAACCGAGGAACUGCUUUUGAGACUGCCGAGCUAGAGUGCGGAAGGGGCAACCGGAAUUCCCAGUGUAGCGGUGAAAUGCGUAGAUAUUGGGAAGAACACCUGAGGCGAAGGCGGGUUGCUGGGCCGACACUGACGCUGAGGCGCGAAAGCCAGGGGAGCAAACGGG
RNAcentral lists this ribosomal RNA (253 nucleotides) under uncultured bacterium. RNAcentral's name for it is "partial 16S ribosomal RNA". It matches the Rfam family "Bacterial small subunit ribosomal RNA", at positions 524 to 776 of the family's 1533-position model. The record is from RNAcentral.